RNAcentral lists this ribosomal RNA (429 nucleotides) under Gemmatimonadota bacterium. RNAcentral's name for it is "Gemmatimonadetes bacterium partial 16S ribosomal RNA". It matches the Rfam family "Bacterial small subunit ribosomal RNA", at positions 355 to 776 of the family's 1533-position model. The record is from RNAcentral. Lineage: Bacteria; Pseudomonadati; Gemmatimonadota.
UAGGGAAUCUUCGGCAAUGGACGAAAGUCUGACCGAGCAACGCCGCGUGAGUGAAGAAGGUUUUCGGAUCGUAAAACUCUGUUGUUAGAGAAGAACAAGGACGUUAGUAACUGAACGUCCCCUGACGGUAUCUAACCAGAAAGCCACGGCUAACUACGUGCCAGCAGCCGCGGUAAUACGUAGGUGGCAAGCGUUGUCCGGAUUUAUUGGGCGUAAAGCGAGCGCAGGCGGUUUCUUAAGUCUGAUGUGAAAGCCCCCGGCUCAACCGGGGAGGGUCAUUGGAAACUGGGAGACUUGAGUGCAGAAGAGGAGAGUGGAAUUCCAUGUGUAGCGGUGAAAUGCGUAGAUGUAUGGAGGAACACCAGUGGCGAAGGCGGCUCUCUGGUCUGUAACUGACGCUGAGGCUAGAAAGCGUGGGGAGCAAACAGG